RNAcentral lists this ribosomal RNA (425 nucleotides) under uncultured bacterium. Its description in RNAcentral is "bacterial SSU rRNA". It matches the Rfam family "Bacterial small subunit ribosomal RNA", at positions 354 to 796 of the family's 1533-position model. The record is from RNAcentral.
GUGGGGAAUCUUGCGCAAUGGGCGAAAGCCUGACGCAGCCAUGCCGCGUGAAUGAUGAAGGUCUUAGGAUUGUAAAAUUCUUUCACCGGGGACGAUAAUGACGGUACCCGGAGAAGAAGCUCCGGCUAACUUCGUGCCAGCAGCCGCGGUAAUACGAAGGGGGCUAGCGUUGCUCGGAAUUACUGGGCGUAAAGGGCGCGUAGGCGGACAGCUUAGUCAGAGGUGAAAGCCCAGGGCUCAACCUUGGAAUUGCCUUUGAUACUGGCUGUCUUGAGUUUGGGAGAGGUGAGUGGAACUCCGAGUGUAGAGGUGAAAUUCGUAGAUAUUCGGAAGAACACCAGUGGCGAAGGCGACCACCUGGACUGAUACUGACACUGAGGUGCGAAAGCGUGGGGAGCAAACAGGAUUAGAAACCCGAGUAGUCC